This is a long non-coding RNA of Xenopus laevis (African clawed frog), 100 nucleotides long. RefSeq lists it as uncharacterized. The transcript is spliced from 3 exons. Lineage: Eukaryota; Metazoa; Chordata; Amphibia; Anura; Pipidae. The record is from RefSeq and is a predicted model, not a curated record.
GUACUUGCUGACCUGGAAAUAUCUUGAAAUUAAAAGCAUUAUCUUGAUGCACAGCAACCAGAUUAAUGCUCAGGCUUUGACAUGCAAGCACAUACCCAUC